UACAGAGGGUGCAAGCGUUGUUCGGAAUUAUUGGGCGUAAAGGGCGCGUAGGCGGUGCCACAAGUCACCCUGUGAAAUCUCCGGGCUUAACUCGGAGCCUGCAGGCGGAAACUGUGGUGCUGGAGUGUGGGAGAGGUGGCGUGGAAUUCCCGGAUGUAGCGGUGAAAUGCGUAGAUAGUCGGGAGGAACACCUGUGGCGAAAGCGGCGCACUGGGACCAAUAACUGACCGCUGGAUGACGCGAAAGCUAGGGGAGCAAACAGG
This 263-nucleotide ribosomal RNA is filed under the name uncultured bacterium. RNAcentral's name for it is "partial 16S ribosomal RNA". It matches the Rfam family "Bacterial small subunit ribosomal RNA", at positions 524 to 776 of the family's 1533-position model. The record is from RNAcentral.